GAUGAACGCUGGCGGCGUGCCUAAUACAUGCAAGUCGAGCGAACAGACGAGGAGCUUGCUCCUCUGACGUUAGCGGCGGACGGGUGAGUAACACGUGGAUAACCUACCUAUAAGACUGGGAUAACUUCGGGAAACCGGAGCUAAUACCGGAUAAUAUAUUGAACCGCAUGGUUCAAUAGUGAAAGACGGUUUUGCUGUCACUUAUAGAUGGAUCCGCGCCGCAUUAGCUAGUUGGUAAGGUAACGGCUUACCAAGGCAACGAUGCGUAGCCGACCUGAGAGGGUGAUCGGCCACACUGGAACUGAGACACGGUCCAGACUCCUACGAGAGGCAGCAGUAGGGAAUCUUCCGCAAUGGGCGAAAGCCUGACGGAGCAACGCCGCGUGAGUGAUGGAGGUCUUCGGAUCGUAAAACUCUGUUAUUAGGGAAGAACAAAUGUGUAAGUAACUAUGCACGUCUUGACGGUACCUAAUCAGAAAGCCACGGCUAACUACGUG
RNAcentral lists this ribosomal RNA (497 nucleotides) under uncultured bacterium. Its description in RNAcentral is "partial 16S ribosomal RNA". It matches the Rfam family "Bacterial small subunit ribosomal RNA", at positions 28 to 507 of the family's 1533-position model. The record is from RNAcentral.